Molecule: long non-coding RNA, 1155 nt
Organism: Homo sapiens (human)
Lineage: Eukaryota; Metazoa; Chordata; Mammalia; Primates; Hominidae
Exons: 2
Source: RefSeq, a predicted model, not a curated record
AUGGUCUCGAUCUCCUGACCUCGUGAUCUGCCCGCCUCAGCCUCCCAAAGUGCUGGGAUUACACGCGUGAGUCCCUGCACCCGGCCUCUUGUUGCAGUUUUAUAUGAUGUCAGUUUUCUAAAUUGAUUAAGAAAUUUCUCAAGUUAAUCAACAUAAAGACGCUGCCUGCACCCCUUUCUUGCAAGACUCUAAUCUUCCCUCACCUUUCUGAUUGUGGGUGAUAAGACUCCCAUUUCAGAAGGGGUGCUGCCUCAUACGCUGGGGGAAGGAAUGCUCCUCAGAGAAGCCAAGAAGAAUCUAAACGGACGGGCCUUGCUGGGUUUCCUCAGUCUACGAGCUUAGAUCAUACCCUUUUUGUUCAUUCAUAUUUCUGCACAGUUGUCAAUUAUGCCUAUCCAAUGAAGUCUCCAUAAAAGGCCAAGAGAACAGGGUUUGGAAUGUCCAGAUAGCUGAACAUGUGGAGGUUCCUGGAGGGUGGAGCUCCCAGGGAGGGCAUGAAAGCUUCAUGCCCCUUCCCCCAUAUGUCACCAUGCAGCUCUUCAUCUGUAUCCUUUAUAAUUAGCCAGUAAACAAGUGUUUCCCUGAGUUCUGUGAGCCUAGGUAUUAGCAAAUUAAUUGAACCCAAGGAAGGAGUCAUGGACACCCCAAUUUAUAGAUGUUUGGUCAGAAGCACAGGUAAAACAACCUUGGGCAUGCAAUUGGUAUGGGAAAUAGGGAGCAGUCUUGGGGCCUGAGCCUUCAACUUGGAUCUGACGCUAUCUCUAGGUAAAUAGUGCUGGAAUUAAAUGGGAAGUCCCCUGGCUGGUGUCCGCUGCAGAACUGCUGGCUUGCUGGUGGGGAAAAAUUUCCACAUAUUUCUACUGACAACCACUAUUAACGUUUUGGUCUAUGUCCUCCUCUAUUUUUUUCCCCCUUGGCAUACAUAUAAGUACAUUCUACAUAUUGUUUUUUAGUCUACAUUUUAAUUUAGUAAUAUAAUGUAGAAAAGAAGAGAUUAGAAAAAUAUUCUUAAUUUUUCUGUAGAAGAUGUUUUAUUUAGUGGGAGUAUGUUCUUUUCUCUUAUUUUGCAGUUAUAAUCCAAAUGUACUUAAGGCCUCCCAGCCUUAUGAGGUCUACCUUUCCUUUAAUAACCAAAUAAAGUUGCUUAAGCCACCA